UACGUAGGGUGCGAGCGUUGUCCGGAAUUAUUGGGCGUAAAGGGCUCGUAGGCGGUUUGUCACGUCGGGAGUGAAAACUCGGGGCUCAACCCCGAGCCUGCUUCCGAUACGGGCAGACUAGAGGUAUGCAGGGGAGAAUGGAAUUCCUGGUGUAGCGGUGAAAAUGCGCAGAUAUCAGGAGGAACACCAGUGGCGAAGGCGGCUCACUGGUCCGGUACUGACGCUGAGGUGCGAAAGCGUGGGGAGCAAACAGG
This 254-nucleotide ribosomal RNA is filed under the name uncultured bacterium. RNAcentral's name for it is "partial 16S ribosomal RNA". It matches the Rfam family "Bacterial small subunit ribosomal RNA", at positions 524 to 776 of the family's 1533-position model. The record is from RNAcentral.